CAAUAGCGUAUAUUAAAGUUGUUGCAGUUAAAAAGCUCGUAGUUGAAUUUCGGGGUCAGCAAGUUGGUCGUGCCACUGGUAUGUACUGGCUUUGCUGAUUCCUCCUUCUUGUAGAACCGUAAUGCCAUUAAGUUGGUGUUGCGGGAAAACAGGACUGUUACUUUGAAAAAAUUAGAGUGUUUAAAGCAGGCUAACGCUUGAAUACAUUAGCAUGGAAUAAUGAAAUAGGACGACGAUCCUAUUUUGUUGGUUUCUAGGAUUGACGUAAUGAUUAAUAGGGAUAGUUGGGGGCAUUAGUAUUCAAUUGUCAGAGGUGAAAUUCUUGGAUUUAUUGAAGACUGACUACUGCGAAAGCAUUUGCCAAGGAUGUUUUCAUUAAUCAAGAACGAAAGUUAGGGGAUCGAAGACGAUCAGAUACCGUCGUAGUCUUAACCAUAAACUAUGCCGACUAGGGAUCGGAUGAUGUUAAUUUUAUAAUGACUCA
Molecule: ribosomal RNA, 484 nt
Filed under: uncultured Glomus
Lineage: Eukaryota; Fungi; Glomeromycota; Glomeromycetes; Glomerales; Glomeraceae
Description: SSU rRNA
Rfam family: Eukaryotic small subunit ribosomal RNA
Source: RNAcentral